RNAcentral lists this microRNA precursor (113 nucleotides) under Leptotrombidium deliense. Its description in RNAcentral is "microRNA MIR397". Lineage: Eukaryota; Metazoa; Arthropoda; Arachnida; Trombidiformes; Trombiculidae. The record is from RNAcentral.
UGAAUAUACAGCAUUGGACAGAAUAAUAUGUAAAUGCGCAUCAAUUUGCUAAGUAGUUCAACCGAUUUUGAAAAGGCAUCAAAAUCACAUUAUUUUGUCCAAUGCUGUAUGUA